This 472-nucleotide ribosomal RNA is filed under the name uncultured bacterium. Its description in RNAcentral is "partial 16S ribosomal RNA". It matches the Rfam family "Bacterial small subunit ribosomal RNA", at positions 28 to 507 of the family's 1533-position model. The record is from RNAcentral.
GACGAACGCUGGCGGCGUGCUUAACACAUGCAAGUCGAACGCUGAAGCUUGGUACUUGCACUGGGUGGAUGAGUGGCGAACGGGUGAGUAAUACGUGAGUAACCUGCCCUUGACUCUGGGAUAAGCCUGGGAAACUGGGUCUAAUACUGGAUACGACAUGUCACCGCAUGGUGGUGUGUGGAAAGGGUUUUACUGGUUUUGGAUGGGCUCACGGCCUAUCAGCUUGUUGGUGGGGUAAUGGCUCACCAAGGCGACGACGGGUAGCCGGCCUGAGAGGGUGACCGGCCACACUGGGACUGAGACACGGCCCAGACUCCUACGGGAGGCAGCAGUGGGGAAUAUUGCACAAUGGGCGGAAGCCUGAUGCAGCGACGCCGCGUGAGGGAUGACGGCCUUCGGGUUGUAAACCUCUUUCAGCACGGAAGAAGCGAAAGUGACGGUACGUGCAGAAGAAGCGCCGGCUAACUACGUG